CGGAAGCACUUCAAGCUCACUUCCUACUUUCAAGCCCAGCCACCCUGCCCGUUUUGUGUGUUGGGUUUUCUCUGAACAGCUAUGCCACACGCACAAAGUUUGACUCUCACUGUAUCGCAGUGAACCACGGCCAAAGAAAAAAAAAUCUUCUGACCCUUGUUAAAAUGUAA
This 170-nucleotide long non-coding RNA is filed under the name Felis catus (domestic cat). Its description in RNAcentral is "lncRNA (ENSFCAG00000042766.2)". Lineage: Eukaryota; Metazoa; Chordata; Mammalia; Carnivora; Felidae. The record is from RNAcentral.